This 495-nucleotide ribosomal RNA is filed under the name uncultured bacterium. RNAcentral's name for it is "partial 16S ribosomal RNA". It matches the Rfam family "Bacterial small subunit ribosomal RNA", at positions 28 to 507 of the family's 1533-position model. The record is from RNAcentral.
GACGAACGCUGGCGGCGUGCCUAAUACAUGCAAGUCGAACGCUGAAGGAGGAGCUUGCUUCUCCGGAUGAGUUGCGAACGGGUGAGUAACGCGUAGGUAACCUGCCUGGUAGCGGGGGAUAACUAUUGGAAACGAUAGCUAAUACCGCAUAACAGUAGAUAUUGCAUGAUAUCUGCUUGAAAGGUGCAAUUGCAUCACUACCAGAUGGACCUGCGUUGUAUUAGCUAGUUGGUGAGGUAACGGCUCACCAAGGCGACGAUACAUAGCCGACCUGAGAGGGGGAUCGGCCACACUGGGACUGAGACACGGCCCAGACUCCUACGGGAGGCAGCAGUAGGGAAUCUUCGGCAAUGGACGGAAGUCUGACCGAGCAACGCCGCGGGAGUGAAGAAGGUUUUCGGAUCGUAAAGCUCGGUUGUAAGAGAAGAACGAGUGUGAGAGUGGAAAGUUCACACUGUGACGGUAUCUUACCAGAAAGGGACGGCUAACUACGUG